Molecule: long non-coding RNA, 1601 nt
Organism: Xenopus laevis (African clawed frog)
Lineage: Eukaryota; Metazoa; Chordata; Amphibia; Anura; Pipidae
Exons: 3
Source: RefSeq, a predicted model, not a curated record
UUCACUGGUCUUGUUUGGAUCACAAACGUUAGGUGUGGUCACUGUUAAUUCUUUGAAGACCAAUGCUCUCCUAAUCCAGCUUCAAACUGCAGCACAGUUUCUUUCUAAUUUUUUUUUUUUUUUUUUAAACACUUUAGGACAUAAGUAUGGAUCCCCUUGGAACAAACCAAAAUAUUGGCUGCCCUUGUAAGGGCUGUCAUCUUGGGCUCCCAGCUUGUCUAAACAAGAUUACACCAGUAACUGCCAGAAGGGGAGAUGCCUUGCUGUUUUUGUCACAAGAGAAAUGGUGGGAAGAACAACCAAACAAUGAACAUCCGAAAAUAACUUUGCAUUGGCAAAUUAAAAAAUUAUAAUUUACCUAGUUUACAGAAAAAAUUUAUCAUUUGCUCAUAUCAAAACCUACCUGUGAUAAAUUUGUUCCUGUUUUAAAACUUUGGCAACUGCAGGACUUGGCGAUAGCACAAUGGGUGACUGUAAGAGCAUGGUAUGUAAAAUCCUAAUGCCACAUUAUCAUUAUUGUUAUAUAACAUGUCCUUGUGUAUUCUUGCACAAUUUCUCACACAAAUUCUUGACUGUACAUACGUUGUUCUCUUUUUAUUUUAGCUUUGCUUAUUAGGCUUUGGCUCCUGAGGUUGCUUCUAUGGUAAUGUAUUUCACCUGGUAGAGAAACUGGCAGUUAUUGGAUAGAAAACAUACUCUAGUUUGCUAGCCAUCAGUGUUUUGCAGUUUGCACACCCUGUUGUUGUUUGUGUGCCCAAAGAGGAUUAUGGAGUGCAAUGCCCUGUCCUUUCUGGCUUAAUACAGAAAGUUCAGUUCAGUAUUCAUGAGGGGUGGGCUGGGGCAUGUUGGCAUCCCUGUGUUUUUCACUACCCACCCCCUAACUUGCAUGGCUUGCACCAGCAUUCUCUAAAUGGCACAAGCUAGGAAACUCCAGAGGGACCCUGGUAGUAAUGUACCCUGUCCAGCACUGAGUUCUGCAACCUCUGCCAGAAUUUUAUUUGUCACACCUGGGUACCAAUUAUUAAAUGCUCUUACACUUGCUUCCAGAGCAUUUGCAAAUGACCCCUCCUAUAUUUGCUGUCUAGAAAGUGCAGCAGCACCAAUAGAAAGGACCGAGGCUACACAGGAUAAGAGGAAUAAAAUGUACAUUGUAUAUCAGUGUUACCUAUCUUGUGGCUCUACAGUUGUUGUGCAGAUGACAAGGCUGUUGACAGUUUUGGUUCAACAACUGUGAAUGGCCAUAGGUUGGACUAUGCUACAUUAUAUAAACAAAUUGAGCCUGCAACGUCUAUUUUGCCCCAGGCCAAGAUAAAAGAUGUAACUGCACUAGCAUUUUUCACUAGUCAACGCCUAACUGGGUUUUGUCAUAGCAAAUACAUUACAAGAUGAUUACAUGCUCUUUACUUAUCUUCCCAAAUUGCCUCAAAAUAUAUUCCUUUAUGUUUGCCACUUUUUUUUCUGGCUGUUCUCCCUCUUGUUAUUUUCCAACUGUGAAAAUUUUGGCUUCCAGUCUACAAGAAACUGAUAGAAGGAGGAAGAGAGAGCAAAAGGCAUAAAGAGAGCAUGAAAAGGGGAUUAUGGUACAGAUUUCUCACCUUUCC